Amphimedon queenslandica is the source of this 2386-nucleotide long non-coding RNA. RefSeq lists it as uncharacterized. The transcript is spliced from 6 exons. The record is from RefSeq and is a predicted model, not a curated record. Lineage: Eukaryota; Metazoa; Porifera; Demospongiae; Haplosclerida; Niphatidae.
GUAUAACCUAUACUAAUUUGGUAUUUCUCAGUUUUUGAUUGCAUCCACUUUCCUUUCAAUUUUACAGAGUGUGUAUGUGGUUACAAGUUUAUACAAAAAAUAUCAAUGAAUCAAGUUACUAUUUGUAGCCGAAAAGAAAGAGGAGAAAGCUGAAUGACUCAAUUAUAAAGUUUAUGUUAUAUUAAUAAUGAAAAGUGACAUACCUUUGGUGAUUUCUUAAAAGUGUUGUAUAAUAGACUGCUACAGAAGAUUUCCAUCAAUGUCAAAGACAGAUAAUUGUUUUUUUAAGUGGUAACAGUUCAAAUGGUGUAUACCUUGUUGCAGAUUAUCAAAAUAUUCAUCUUGUUCUAGAAAGUUAUUGCUUCUUUAUAAUUUUACCUUAAUUUUUGGAGGGAAUGAAGGGCACUAUAGAUCCACUCCAAAAAACUUUGUUUUAUGAAAUACAUUUUUGCAAAUAUGUUUUAAGAAACAACAAACCUUGAAUUUUGAAGUAUGUAUCUAUGAAACACUAGUUAUAUAAGAAAUGGCAGAAACCCUUUGAUUUCUAGCAAAACUUUUACAGGUAAUUGUAUGUCUAAUAUGAAGUGGCAUGCUAACAUUUCUAAAAACAAAGGGUAUAGUAUUUUCUUUCUUUUGGCAUUUAUUAUGACCCUGAUCAUCAUUUAUGAGUUUCUCAUUUUGGCUAGAUAAUAUCAUAAAUCUCUUCUUUUUGCUGAAUAUUUGUUUUCUUGUAGCUUUGCACUUCAAUGCCCUGUAAUAGACGUUAUUUUGUCACCUUCUAUACCUUUUUGAAACAUGCAAGUUACUGUCAGUGGCAGUCUUUGUAUAGGAGGGGAGAUUUUGAUGAGGAAGUAACUGAUCACAAAAAGAAUACAAAUAAGUCACAAGCAGAAUUUGAAGAAAUGAAUUGCACGAUGGAGGCAUUAGGACAGUCAGGACUAGCUGCUGAUGAUGAUAAAAAAAAUUAAUCAGAACAAGAAGAAGAUAUUAAACAAUGAUGUUAAAUCUAGCUCUCCUCAUUUUUUAGUAAUUAUAAUCACAAAACAGUUAUGAUUUAAAGCAGCUAAAUGACUGCUGUAGGUCCUCAUUGAGGUGUAUACUACUGCUACUACUGAAGCAGCACCUUAGACGGGUCUAUGCACUCAGUGAUAAGAGUAUACUCCAACUGACAGUAACAAGAUGGGAGAGAAGGCAGUCUCUCAGAGGCAAGGGAUUCUGUAUGAGCCUUAGUCAGUUGUCAAUGCUGACAAGAAAUGAGAGAAAAGACUCAACUGGAUGAUACUCCAUGCCUGAUUCUACAUCCCUACCCCCACCAAUAGUCGUCCCUCCUCCAAAUCAAAAUAAAAUCAACUUACCAACUCACCCCCCUGGACAGUUAGAUCGAGUCCUCAUACUGGCCUUACCAGUUAGCAAUGUAAACUUAUAUGCAUGGAACUUAAGCAAAGUCUAACGCUUCAUUGUAAAAUACACUGGCAUACAAAUGGAAUUAUGCUCAAAUUGUAGCAAGAAGAAGGUUGUUAUAUUUCUGCCAUCUGAUCUCAUAGAGGACUGUAUGACUUUCUUACUCCAUGACAUGCAGGCAACAGGCAUGCAGCCUCAACCAUCAGAGUCCAAUGAUCCAAUUAAACGUAUUCAUGUCUUCCCUCACCAGUGUGAAAGGACUGACUCUGGCUCACCUCAGCAGCAGCAGCAGAAGCAAUAGUCUUUAAUACUGGAUUCCCUUAAUAGUCACCCAGCUCCCAAUACACCGUUGCUCACUAAAUCACAUAAAAAAGAUCCUGUGGCAGUUUCGCGCAACCCUGCCCUACCUCCUUGUAAUGAGCUUUGCCAAAACUACAAACAUUAGAUGGAUGGAGGACAGAAUUUUUUCUCAAGCUCCUCAGAUCAUAGUAACAGAGUGCAAUCCAGUGUACAUAUCAAUGGAAUCCAGGACCCAAACAUCCAGAGAAUGCUGGGUUCAGGAGACAACCAAUGCUACUUCCCAGAUUGUCUAAUAUGUUGCAAGAUUUUAAUCCUCCUCCUCCUCAUUCUUUUUCUCCUCCUGCCUACACUCUUCCUACUUCAACUUCUCAAUCUUACCCUUCUCUUUCUCUCACUCCUAAUGCUCCUUCUUGGUUCACUUGUGUCCCAGUUCUUUCUUCGGUAGUCUAUGGUGUUGUUGAUUGAAAGAUUUUCGAGGUCAUAAAGAAGCCUGUCAUUAUUUUUUAUGUGUUCUAAUCCUUAAUCACAGGAACCUUUGCAUUGAUAUCAUUGGAAAUGACUUUUCCUCACAGUAACAGUUGUGUAUAAUAACAAAUAAUUUUAGUUUUUUCAAUGGAUUCAUUGUAAGAGCUAUAAUGAUUAAUCUUUUUAAAGUGUAAUGCAUAUUUCACAUUAUUUAAGUUCA